RNAcentral lists this ribosomal RNA (404 nucleotides) under Actinomycetes bacterium. RNAcentral's name for it is "Actinobacteria bacterium partial 16S ribosomal RNA". It matches the Rfam family "Bacterial small subunit ribosomal RNA", at positions 355 to 776 of the family's 1533-position model. Lineage: Bacteria; Bacillati; Actinomycetota; Actinomycetes. The record is from RNAcentral.
UGGGGAAUAUUGGACAAUGGGCGCAAGCCUGAUCCAGCCAUGCCGCGUGAGUGAUGAAGGCCCUAGGGUUGUACAGCUCUUUCACCGGUGAAGAUAAUGACGGUAACCGGAGAAGAAGCCCCGGCUAACUUCGUGCCAGCAGCCGCGGUAAUACGAAGGGGGCUAGCGUUGUUCGGAUUUACUGGGCGUAAAGCGCACGUAGGCGGACUUUUAAGUCAGGGGUGAAAUCCCGGGGCUCAACCCCGGAACUGCCUUUGAUACUGGAAGUCUUGAGUAUGGUAGAGGUGAGUGGAAUUCCGAGUGUAGAGGUGAAAUUCGUAGAUAUUCGGAGGAACACCAGUGGCGAAGGCGGCUCACUAGACCAUUACUGACGCUGAGGUGCGAAAGCGUGGGGAGCAAACAGG